UCAUAACCCUUAUACAAAAAUUCCAAAUCAAGCUUCCUAGCACCCAACCAGUUGGGGAUCCAACAAACAUUACACCACAUCAGCCCUAUUAACAUACUAGAUCAAGAUACAAGAGCAAAACAAAAUACAAUUACAUCAACCCUCUAAAGGAAUCACAUUCUCAAAACAAAACUCAACAGUCCAACAACUCAACAAGAUAUUUGCUAGCAAACAAAAGUACGCCAAACAUCCAAGUGCUAAAACCAUCAAACCGACCAUGUGAGGAGGAUACAAAAGCCAAAAAAACCUGUAUAAAGCACACCACAACUUUCAAAUCUGGACAAAUCGUUAAACAUGAAUCACCAAACCUCAAUCUCUCAAAUCUCAUACAACAUAAAGGUUCCAACACCAAUCCGAAUAAGAUAAAUCAACCAAAUUUUC
This 420-nucleotide long non-coding RNA is filed under the name Phaseolus vulgaris (common bean). RNAcentral's name for it is "long non-coding RNA (PVUL_LNC003635)". Lineage: Eukaryota; Viridiplantae; Streptophyta; Magnoliopsida; Fabales; Fabaceae. The record is from RNAcentral.